Molecule: small nuclear RNA, 105 nt
Filed under: Macaca fascicularis (crab-eating macaque)
Lineage: Eukaryota; Metazoa; Chordata; Mammalia; Primates; Cercopithecidae
Source: RNAcentral
GCUCACUUUGGCAGCGCAUGUACUAAAACUGGAACGAUAUAGAGAAUAUUAGCAUGGCCCUUGUGCAAGGAUGACACACAAAUUUAUGAAAUGUUAUAUAUUUUU